RNAcentral lists this long non-coding RNA (85 nucleotides) under Taeniopygia guttata (zebra finch). RNAcentral's name for it is "lncRNA (ENSTGUG00000022386.1)". Lineage: Eukaryota; Metazoa; Chordata; Aves; Passeriformes; Estrildidae. The record is from RNAcentral.
CUGCAAGCAGCUUGACCUCUGGUCUGAAGCCUUAAAUAAAGCUGGAAUACUUCCUUUUAAGAGGAGAAAGGGAACAGAGAAGUUU